This 329-nucleotide unclassified non-coding RNA is filed under the name soil metagenome. RNAcentral's name for it is "partial contains 5.8S ribosomal RNA, internal transcribed spacer 2, and large subunit ribosomal RNA". The stretch from base 1 to 120 matches the Rfam family "5.8S ribosomal RNA", at positions 35 to 154 of the family's 154-position model. The record is from RNAcentral.
GAUGAAGAACGUAGCGAAAUGCGAUAAGUAAUGUGAAUUGCAGAAUUCAGUGAAUCAUCGAAUCUUUGAACGCACGUUGCGCCCCUUGGUAUUCCGAGGGGCAUGCCUAUUCGAGCGUCAUUAUCACCCCUCAAGCCUAGCUUGGUGUUGAGGCCUGCUGUCAAGGCAGCCUCUAAAAUCAGUGGCAGUGCUGUCAGGCUCUAAGCGUAGUAAAUCUAAUCGCUAUAGACACCUGGUGGACACUCGCCAGAACCCCCCCAUUUUUUAAUGAUUGACCUCGGAUUAGGUAGGGAUACCCGCUGAACUUAAGCAUAUCAAUAAGCGGAGGA